UUAAGAGGAUUUGUGUAGGUCAGCG
This 25-nucleotide non-coding RNA is filed under the name Cricetulus griseus (Chinese hamster). The record is from RNAcentral. Lineage: Eukaryota; Metazoa; Chordata; Mammalia; Rodentia; Cricetidae.